CCUCCAUGCUGCUUAGUCUUUGUUUAGCCCAUGAGAUUGCCCACACCAGUGGCAGUGUAGAUAAGGUUUUGGAUGGGAGCUUGGUCAUAUCAGGAAAUGGCUGUCACUCUCUUUCUGUUCACAACAGGAAGUAUAUGACAAGGAUGUGAGCUCUGGAUUUGGAAGUAACUCAUAAAUAAGUCUAAAUAAAAUAGCAUAAUUAGUCUGCUUAAGCAUCUUGACUUUUUUCUUCUUCUGUUCCACCUUUCUUCAAAACUGAACACCAGCUGUGUGUGGAUACACAGGAGUCCUGGUAUCACUGGAUUUGUGGUUAUGCUCCUUGUCCGCUAAAAAGCUCUUCUGUAAAUUCACAUUAGUAGAAGGUGUGUGAAUUCCAGAAUUGGUUUGAAACCGCCUUUAUGAUCAUUAACAAUUGUAGAAUAGAAUCCAAUGAGAAUGACUUGGUCCCACAUAGCCACAUAUGUUAGGUACCAAGUUGCCAAUCCUUAAAGACUUGAUGCCAUUUAUUUUCUUGUUGCUCUUCCCGAACUAUGGUGAGUGCAGCUAUAGGGC
This 552-nucleotide long non-coding RNA is filed under the name Gallus gallus (chicken). Lineage: Eukaryota; Metazoa; Chordata; Aves; Galliformes; Phasianidae. The record is from RNAcentral.